Molecule: long non-coding RNA, 933 nt
Organism: Nomia melanderi (Alkali bee)
Lineage: Eukaryota; Metazoa; Arthropoda; Insecta; Hymenoptera; Halictidae
Source: RefSeq, a predicted model, not a curated record
GGGAACUGGCAACAUCAACCGGGUUCCUACAAUUCAUCCACUCGCUGUGCACGAAAAAUGUGCUCACAUCUCCCGCUAUUUAUCUACGAGUCUAGAAAGACUCGGACACCAGCGGGAACCAGUAACCAUGAUAACAUUUGCCCAAAAACAUAACCUUCCCAGCAAUAAUGGAGGAAUUGCUAACGACACAUAAAAAUUCUCUUGCUCUUCGAUAACUGCUGCAAUGCAUGAACUGAAAACCUACAGAACAGAUAAUGCAGUCUCACCAGAGGGUCUUAAGUUUGCUUGAACAAUGCAGCUCAUCAACUGGACCACACCUCCCAAUUUCAUGCCCAUCAUCUAAAUACUAAUAGAUGCUUGGCCAUGACACUUUUGGAUCUAAACAAAACCUUCGACUCUGUAUAAACAAGGAGCCUUCUGUUCAAAAUUUGCGGGGAACAUACUGGAGGCAAUUUUGAUUCUCACAUUUUUAGGUAACUCCCAAUCAUGUCCCCCCUGAUAAAAAAAAGAAUUAUGCGCAUUUUUUUAAUCGUACCGGUACGAAUAAGUCCUCGCAUAGAGCAUGCAAAAUACGAAGCCUUGUUGGUGGCGCAUUGUGCGACUCGUUACAAUGAAUCGAAAGUACGCUGUGUUUUGUUUCUUGAGAUCCGGCUCGAAGAAUCUUUUGCUGGUACACAAGGAAUGUUAAAUAAAUAACCCGUGGUAUACUGUGUAAUGAAUCAAUAUAAUUCUAAGUAUAACAAACUUAACAGCAGCACAAGGAUAACAAUGGUGUGGAUGUUGAUUUGAUGUAUCGAAAGUUUCUCGUCCAGAAUACGUGUAUACAGGUGACCACGUAAUAUACAAGAAUCGUCUCGUCAAUAUUACAUGAAUCAUCUGGAGAAAUUUCUAUUGUUCGUCGGUACGACCUUGAAUAUUUGGCAUUUCGGCCCA